This is a non-coding RNA of Cordylochernes scorpioides, 73 nucleotides long. The record is from the annotation of a GenBank genome assembly. Lineage: Eukaryota; Metazoa; Arthropoda; Arachnida; Pseudoscorpiones; Chernetidae.
GGGGAAAAUGUGGGUUGGAACCAGGGACAUUUAGAUCCUCAAUCUAAAGCUUUGGCAGCUGAGCUAUUUUGCC